This 253-nucleotide ribosomal RNA is filed under the name uncultured bacterium. RNAcentral describes it as "partial 16S ribosomal RNA". It matches the Rfam family "Bacterial small subunit ribosomal RNA", at positions 524 to 776 of the family's 1533-position model. The record is from RNAcentral.
UACGGAGGGGGCUAGCGUUGUUCGGAAUUACUGGGCGUAAAGCGCUCGUAGGCGGUUUGUCGCGUCUGCUGUGAAAGACCGGGGCUCAACUCCGGUUCUGCAGUGGGUACGGGCAGACUAGAGUGCAGUAGGGGAGACUGGAAUUCCUGGUGUAGCGGUGAAAUGCGCAGAUAUCAGGAGGAACACCGAUGGCGAAGGCAGGUCUCUGGGCUGUAACUGACGCUGAGGAGCGAAAGCGUGGGGAGCAAACAGG